UCCAACCUUGUUCUAAUUACUUGCUACCAAGUUUUCACACCUAGAGGCACAACUAUGUACUAAUGAAACUUUGGGGUCAGAUGAAUUCAAAUUUGAAUUGUAUGACUGGUCUCACUCCCACUCUUGUGGCUACAGAUGGGCUAGAUCCCGUGACUGAGCAAAAGGGGAGAGAGAAGGAAGUGGUUUCUCUCAAAGAUAAAGUGUUUAUCUCUGAGCAGAUAAACACAAGCCCAUUCUGUACUAGAUCAGGAGAGAGAAUGUUGGUUCAAAUCUAAGAUGCAGAGCAGAUUGGUUAAGGACUAAGUUAGUUGAUCAUUUCCUAAGACAAGACUAGGACUAGCAGCAAAGGUGGUAUGGAUACUAUCAAGAUGAGAGGAGAAGUGGACAAACUGAAAACUAGUUCAAGGUCUAACUUUACAAACAUGACCUACCCACUGUGGCAUCCCUCUUACGCUUAGCCUGAUGUGCUUUGGUAGAGGAAGCACCACCCAUAUGAGUCUGCAUUUGCCAAAGGUGCCUUAGAAGAAAGGGAAAGAACUGGAACAGGUCAGCAAGUCCCAUGCUAAUGGGACUCAUGUCAAGCUGGGUCAAGUUGGGGUGUAGAUCUCUCAUUGAGAGCUAAAGCAUGGCGCUAAAAUAAGGGAAAGCAGAGACAUAGAAAACAAUCAAAUCUGAAGAAACCAGAGGAUGGAGAUGGAGGCUGUAGAACAAGGUGGGAAUGGAAGCUGGUGGAGAACAAUAAGGUCCUGCUGAGGAUCCCUGGUGCCCAGUAGGGAACACCGUGAGGAGGAGGAUUAAGAAAGGCACCCUUUCCACUGAUUUGCAUCGCCAUUUGUACAUGGAGUUUGGCUACAGCAAAAUCCGUUGCUAUCUCACCAGCUACAAGAAGCAAAGAACGAAUUGCAAUUCAUUUUUGUGCUCUAGGACCCGGUUGAGGAACACACCCUUCAAAGUGCUAAUGCUGUUCCAGCUCAGCAGACACCUCGUCUCGGGAAAGCCAUUAGAAACCCCCAAAAUACUACAUUUUUCUCCUGAGCUUUGAACCCUGAACCCAGCAUUCUGAGAGUGGGAACCAGAAAUGUGCAUUUGAAAAGACUCCCCAGGCAAUUCUGAUGAGGAGCCAGUGAGCCUGCUGAACCAGGUGACUACUGACAUCUCUUCUUUGAGUGACUUUCGACCAUCCCACAAAUGUCUGCUCGACGGUGUCCUGGAAGAGCUGGGUCAUGGCUCUCAUUACACACUACUCAGCAUCAUACACCAGGUUGUAUCACACAUCUCAUUCACACUACUGAGCAUCAUACACCAGGCUGUAUCACACUUUGUCCGGACUUCAUGAGUCUUCCAGUACAGUGAUGGGACGUAGGUUUUCUAGACUUGCCUAUGGGCUUCUCCUCUUUCCUAAUGAAGCUUCCACUCAUCCAAACGUCCUUUGAGGAGGAAAUUUAUCCAACUCACUCCACUGCAAAAGCUGGAGAACUGACAAGAUUCUUCCUGACCACUUCAGUGGCUAUGAUUAUAGGCAGUAUUGUGGUUUUCAUUUGCAAAAUGAGGAAUAAAGCUGCAGACAUUUCCAGUACUAGAAAUGGUCUGUUUGUAGCAUGAAGGUGCAUAUUCAUUUCUUUUUCUUUUUUCCUGACCCUUAAUCAUUUAUUACAUUUUUCUCCUGUUAAACAAGCUAUAUAGGCUGAAUACAAAGAAGUUUGAAAACACAGAAAGGUAAAAAAAUUAAAUUAAAUUAAGAUCAUCUGAAAUGUUAACUUCAAGAGAAAGUUAACAACUGUGAGCAUUCUGGUUUGUAUAUUCUUGCAGUCUUAUUUAAUUAAUUGCAUUUAUGUACUUUAAAAAAAGUAGAAUUAUAUUGUAUAUAUGGCUUUGAUUUCUUAAAAAUUAACAUUGUGAACAUGUGCAAGGAGUGUUUCUUAAAUUGCUCUUUCCAUUGUCACUUUUACUGGAGAUUAAAGUCUCAAAGUACAUUUUUUGACUUAGCAGAGGGAGAGCUGAGAUGUCUCAUUAAAGCUUGGCCGAGCGCCUUCUGUUACUGCUUAUUUACAUAAGUAGCUUUCCUAAAAUCAACGGCUCCCAUGAACAAGACAUAUAUAUUAAUGCCUCACAGUCCAAUAUAUGAUGAGAUAAAUGACCACUGCUUCCUUAUAUAAUGCGCACACACUUGCCUGAGACAAGUCAGCUGUUCUGAAACACAAGAUUAGGAAAUUCAAUUUCAUGUAUACAUUUCCAUGAAUCAAAAGUCAAAAUCAAAGGACAACCUUCUGUGUUACAGUGAACUCUGGAAGUAAGUGUAAAUAAGAUAAUAAGAUAUGCCCUACUUUGUUGUCAUCUUUUUUUUUUUUUUUGCUUUUUGUUUUUUGUUUGUUUUGAG
This 2377-nucleotide long non-coding RNA is filed under the name Homo sapiens (human). RNAcentral's name for it is "HSALNT0362281". The record is from RNAcentral. Lineage: Eukaryota; Metazoa; Chordata; Mammalia; Primates; Hominidae.